UACAGAGGUCUCAAGCGUUGUUCGGAUUCAUUGGGCGUAAAGGGUGCGUAGGCGGCGCGGUAAGUCGGGUGUGAAAUCUUGGAGCUUAACUCCGAAACUGCAUUCGAUACUGCCGUGCUUGAGGACUGGAGAGGAGACUGGAAUUUACGGUGUAGCGGUGAAAUGCGUAGAUAUUGGGAGGAACACCGGUGGCGAAGGCGGCUCUCUGGACCGGUACUGACGCUGAGACGCGAAAGCUAGGGGAGCAAACGGG
This 253-nucleotide ribosomal RNA is filed under the name uncultured bacterium. Its description in RNAcentral is "partial 16S ribosomal RNA". It matches the Rfam family "Bacterial small subunit ribosomal RNA", at positions 524 to 776 of the family's 1533-position model. The record is from RNAcentral.